This 612-nucleotide long non-coding RNA is filed under the name Homo sapiens (human). RNAcentral describes it as "HSALNT0249452". Lineage: Eukaryota; Metazoa; Chordata; Mammalia; Primates; Hominidae. The record is from RNAcentral.
AAAGUGUUGAAGCUCCUGCUUCAUCACCUCACCUCUUGUCCUCAAUUCCUACUUUUGCACAGGCAACAUCACAGUUGUCUCGAAUAGAAAGGACCUGGAAGAAGUGACCUGAAUAUCAUACAGGCAGAUUCUCUGGUCUUUAUAUUAUUAGAUACUCCUGCCACUGUCAGUGCAAAAAUGAAUAAAAUAUAGUGUCAAUCCAACAUGCACUGAAAACCCCCAAGCUGUGCCAUUUGGCAAGAGGUCACUCUAGGUCACUUUGAGUAUGUUUUGCAUAAAAGACAGUGUAGAAAAUAAUGAAGCUAUUGUCACCUUUAAUAGCUUUUAGUGUCAGAUAGUAAUCCAGACAUGUGCUUUCCCAGUUUAUUCUCUAUUGUAUUUAUGUUUCUGUCAAUCACUCUUUUUCAUUUUCUUUGUGUUCAUUUCCUGAGAAGGACUGUCACAUGCAUUAUGCCCAUUAAAUCCUAGUGCCAGUAAGUUUUAGGUAAGAAUAAUUUUGUUCUCAAGCCAAGAAAGUGGAGGCAUAAUAGACUAAAUUCCUUGAAAAUUCUUUUCAGUUUCUGAGUUCUAUUUUAUACUUUGGAACAGCUGUUCUUUUCUAAGACCCCCCCA